AUGCAAAUGAGACGGUGGAAAAGGCCGCUUUCUCCAAAGCCCCAGACCGUCCUCCUCGGAACCUGCCGGGGAUUGAAUUCUAGACCCUUUGAAGGUUUCACGCAGAGUCUGCGUCAAGGCUGGUCGGCACCUGGCUGGGUCUGCUGGUGUCUUCAGAUGCUGAGGAGACACCAGCUUUCUAUUAACCUGGGCCCAGUGUCGUUUACAUCUUUGGAAAUGGAGGCAUCUACCAAUGAUUCUCAAAGGCUAAUCCUCAGGCCAGCAGAGUCAGCACCGCUUGAGACACUACUCUGAAAUGAGAACUCUCUGGCUUCACCCAAGACCUCCUGAGUCACAGACUCUGGGGCUGGGACCCAACAACUGGUACUUUCGGAGCCUUCCCGAGGAUUCUCAGGCACGCAUGAGUGUGAGGAGGGCUCCUCCCCAAGGCCUUCUCGCACCCCUGUCUUUUGGCCAGGCUUCCCCUGGACGGUGGGGUGUUCGGCCAUCAUUCAGCAGCGCACCUUGCGUUUCCCGUGCACCCUGAUUGUGGUGCCGUCCGCAACACAGAAGCUGCCACUUCUCACUGCCUUGUGUCAACUGCACACGUAACAGUUCUGCUUCCGUCUUCAUCCAGAGCUCUGACCUGAACGUUGAGUGACACAGACUCCAAAUCAGGACCACACUUCCCUGUAUGCCGUGGGUCUUGCUGUUGCCUGGACCUCUGAGAUGCUCUCAAAGCCCAUCUCCCUCGCUCUGCGACUGCUUUUCCUGGCUACUCCACCAGGGCCUGUAUCUCCACUGACGUGUCAUCUCUUCCCAGAAAACCAGGUUUAGGGCUCGUCACCUGAACCCCCGUGCUGACAGCUAUCAGUGUUUGAUAAUGAUUCCCUUCUUCUGUGAAACACUGGUCCCUGAGCGGGGUGAUUCUGCUCCAGGAGAACGUUUGGCGAUGUCUAGACACAUCUUUUGGAGAAGGAAAUGGCAACCCACUCUAGUAUUCCUGCCUGGAGAAUCCCNNNNNNNNNNNNNNNNNNNNNNNNNNNNNNNACAGGUCGCAAAGAGUCAGACACGACUGAGCGACUUCACUUUCACUUAGACACAUCUUUGGGGGGCUUCCCAGGUGGUGUUAGUGGUAGGAACCCACCUGCCAACGCAGGAGAUAAAAGAGACAUGGGUUUGAUCCCUGGGUUCGGAAGAUCCCCUGAAGGGGGGCAUGGCAACCCACUCCAGUAUUCUUGCUUGGAGAACCCCAUGGACAG
RNAcentral lists this long non-coding RNA (1241 nucleotides) under Capra hircus (goat). RNAcentral describes it as "lncRNA (ENSCHIG00010013373.1)". The record is from RNAcentral. Lineage: Eukaryota; Metazoa; Chordata; Mammalia; Artiodactyla; Bovidae.